This 310-nucleotide unclassified non-coding RNA is filed under the name uncultured Nectriaceae. RNAcentral's name for it is "sequence contains ITS1". The stretch from base 1 to 105 matches the Rfam family "5.8S ribosomal RNA", at positions 50 to 154 of the family's 154-position model. Lineage: Eukaryota; Fungi; Ascomycota; Sordariomycetes; Hypocreales; Nectriaceae. The record is from RNAcentral.
GAAAUGCGAUAAGUAGUGUGAAUUGCAGAAUUCAGUGAAUCAUCGAAUCUUUGAACGCACAUUGCGCCCGCCAGUAUUCUGGCGGGCAUGCCUGUUCGAGCGUCAUUUCAACCCUCAAGCCCCCGGGUUUGGUGUUGGGGAUCGGCGAGCCUCACGGCAAGCCGGCCCCGAAAUACAGUGGCGGUCUCGCUGCAGCUUCCAUUGCGUAGUAGUAAAACCCUCGCAACUGGUACGCGGCGCGGCCAAGCCGUUAAACCCCCAACUUCUGAAUGUUGACCUCGGAUCAGGUAGGAAUACCCGCUGAACUUAA